Molecule: small nucleolar RNA, 85 nt
Organism: Vigna angularis (adzuki bean)
Lineage: Eukaryota; Viridiplantae; Streptophyta; Magnoliopsida; Fabales; Fabaceae
Rfam family: Small nucleolar RNA SNORD25
About the family: U25 is a member of the C/D class of snoRNA which contain the C (UGAUGA) and D (CUGA) box motifs. U25 is found in gene clusters in plants, and within the U22 snoRNA host gene (UHG) in mammals. U25 is thought to as a 2'-O-ribose methylation guide for ribosomal RNA.
Source: Rfam
GUUAACUGUGAUGAGCCUACAUACCUGUAAUGAUUUGCGGGUAUGAUCGCAAACAUUAAUUGAACAUCUAAGGGACUGAGUUAAA